UACGUAGGUGGCAAGCGUUGUCCGGAAUUACUGGGCGUAAAGCGUGUGCAGGCGGGCUAGCAAGUGGUGUAUGAAAGCUCCCGGCUCAACCGGGAAGGGUUAUGCCAGACUGCUAGUCUUGAGUGCGAGAGAGGAGCGUGGAAUUCCGGGUGUAGUGGUGAAAUGCGUAGAGAUCCGGAGGAACCCCAGAGGCGAAGGCGGCGCUCUGGCUCGCAACUGACGCUCAGACACGACAGCAUGGGGAGCGAACGGG
Molecule: ribosomal RNA, 253 nt
Filed under: uncultured bacterium
Lineage: Bacteria
Description: partial 16S ribosomal RNA
Rfam family: Bacterial small subunit ribosomal RNA
Source: RNAcentral